GACGAACGCUGGCGGCGUGCUUAACACAUGCAAGUCGAACGGAAAGGCCCUGCUUUUGUGGGGUGCUCGAGUGGCGAACGGGUGAGUAACACGUGAGUAACCUGCCCUUGACUUUGUGAUAACUUCAGGAAACUGGGGCUAAUACCGGAUAGGAGCUCCUGCUGCAUGGUGGGGGUUGGUAAGUUUCGGCGGUUGGGGCUGGACUCGCGGCUUAUCAGCUUGUUGGUGGGGUAGUGGCUUACCAAGGCUUUGACGGGUAGCCGGCCUGAGAGGGUGACCGGCCACAAGAGGACUGAGAUACGGACCAGAAGGCUACGGGAGGCAGCAGGGGGAAGUAUUACACAAAGAGGGGAAGUCAGAUGCAGCAACGCCGCGAGCGGGAUGACGGCCUUCGGGGUGUAAACCGAUUUCGCCUGUGACGAAGCGUGAGUGACGGUAAUGGGUAAAGAAGCAACGGCUAACUACGUG
This 468-nucleotide ribosomal RNA is filed under the name uncultured bacterium. RNAcentral describes it as "partial 16S ribosomal RNA". It matches the Rfam family "Bacterial small subunit ribosomal RNA", at positions 28 to 507 of the family's 1533-position model. The record is from RNAcentral.